UCGGGUUCGGUUUGGGUUCGGUUUGGUUUGGUUAAUUUGGCUUUUAAAAAACUCAACCCAAUUAAAACCAAAGUAGCUUUGGUUUGGGUUCGGCUUGGGUUUAGUUUGGUUCGGUUUAGUUCGGUUUGGUUUAGAUUUAGUUUGGUUUACUUUAAAAAUCUAUGAAACAAAAAACAAUUUAAAGCUCGAUGACAAAACUCUUAACCACAUCAAAUGAAGAAAUACAUAAUAAGCAAAGAGCAGACUAUUUGUAAUCUAAUUAGCGUAACAAAGACUUGUAAGCAUUCUAAAACCUAUUAACUAAA
Molecule: long non-coding RNA, 305 nt
Filed under: Brassica napus (rape)
Lineage: Eukaryota; Viridiplantae; Streptophyta; Magnoliopsida; Brassicales; Brassicaceae
Description: long non-coding RNA (BNAP_LNC016443)
Source: RNAcentral